RNAcentral lists this ribosomal RNA (301 nucleotides) under uncultured bacterium. Its description in RNAcentral is "partial 16S ribosomal RNA". It matches the Rfam family "Bacterial small subunit ribosomal RNA", at positions 509 to 807 of the family's 1533-position model. The record is from RNAcentral.
CAGCAGCCGCGGGAAUACAGAGGAUGCAAGCGUUAUCCGGAAUGAUUGGGCGUAAAGCGUCUGUAGGUGGCUUUUCAAGUCCGCCGUCAAAUCCCAGGGCUCAACCCUGGACAGGCGGUGGAAACUACCAAGCUGGAGUACGGUAGGGGCAGAGGGAAUUUCCAGUGGAGCGGUGAAAUGCGUUGAGAUCGAAGAGAACACCAACAGCGAAAGCACUCUGCUGGGACGACACUGACACUAAGAGACGAAAGCUAGGGGAGCAAAUGGGAUUAGAUACCCCAGUAGUCCCUGUCUCUUAUAC